This 361-nucleotide RNase P RNA is filed under the name Bacteroidota bacterium. RNAcentral describes it as "Bacteroidetes bacterium (activated sludge metagenome) RNase P RNA component class A". It matches the Rfam family "Bacterial RNase P class A". From Rfam's summary of the family: Ribonuclease P (RNase P) is a ubiquitous endoribonuclease, found in archaea, bacteria and eukarya as well as chloroplasts and mitochondria. Its best characterised activity is the generation of mature 5'-ends of tRNAs by cleaving the 5'-leader elements of precursor-tRNAs. Cellular RNase Ps are ribonucleoproteins. The record is from RNAcentral. Lineage: Bacteria; Pseudomonadati; Bacteroidota.
CUACAAACCCGAACUAUCGUUCCACAAAAUGUGGAGAGGAAAGUCCGGACAGCACAGAGCAACCUACCGGAUAACAUCCGGUCAUAUCAUUUCGGUAUGAAGAAAGUGCCACAGAAAAUAACUGCCUCAACCUCUUUUGAAGAGUGUUGCGGUGAGGAUGAAAAUGUGAGGUAAGAGCUCACAGUUGUAGCAAGUAAUUGUUAUAACGGGUAAACCUUAGGUGCUGUAAUGCCACGUAUAGAGCCGUUUUAAGAGCUGCUCGCUCAAGGCUCAGGGUAGGCAGCAAGAUUGUAACAGUAAUGUUACAACCAGAUAAAUGAUAGUGCAAAAACAGAAUCCGGCUUACGAGGUUUGUAGCUUU